Molecule: long non-coding RNA, 409 nt
Filed under: Nicotiana benthamiana
Lineage: Eukaryota; Viridiplantae; Streptophyta; Magnoliopsida; Solanales; Solanaceae
Description: long non-coding RNA (NBEN_LNC022672)
Source: RNAcentral
AGGAAAGCAUUUCUUGAAUUCAAGAAGUCUAUUCUUGAAGUUGAAUUCUAGCAACAACAACUAGCUAAUGAAGAACUAAUCGCCAUUGGCAGAGAAUUAAAAAACAAGAGAUAGAUUGUGAAACCCGACCUUUUAGAAUAACAAGAACAACAACAAGCCUAAACUUAUCACCUUUCAUGAAUACCUAAAAGUGAUAUAAGAUUUCGAAAGUGGUGAAACCCGACCCUUUAGAAUAACAAGAACAACAAUAAGCCUAAACUUAUCACCUUUCUUGAAUACCUAGAAGUGAUCUAAGAUUUCGAAAAUAGUUUAAUCUUACCACCUAAGUUAGUUCUUGAAGAUUGAAGAAUAAAUCCAAGAGUAACCACACACCAUGGUGCAAGAAAAUUCUCACAUUUCUUUAUUGAUA